Molecule: ribosomal RNA, 253 nt
Filed under: uncultured bacterium
Lineage: Bacteria
Description: partial 16S ribosomal RNA
Rfam family: Bacterial small subunit ribosomal RNA
Source: RNAcentral
UACGGAGGGUGCAAGCGUUAAUCGGAAUUACUGGGCGUAAAGCGUGCGCAGGCGGUUUGUUAAGUCCGCUGUGAAAUCCCCGAGCUCAACUUGGGAAUUGCAGUGGAUACUGGCAAGCUGGAGUAUGGUAGAGGAAGGUGGAAUUCCCGGUGUAGCAGUGAAAUGCGUAGAGAUCGGGAGGAACACCAGUGGCGAAGGCGGCCUUCUGGACCAAUACUGACGCUCAUGCACGAAAGCGUGGGGAGCAAGCAGG